AAAACUUUUAAGUCACGAAUUUGUUACAAUCAUGAAAGUUUAUUCAGCAUUUUUGAUGACAGUAGCAUUACUCGUCUGUUGGACUACAAUUGGACAGGCUUCUUUAGUUGCAUUAAGGAAAAAACGUAACGUUGCACCACUUCCAUAUUAGUGAAAAAGGAUCAUCAAAUGUUUUGUAUAUUCUAAAAAUUAAUUCGACAAUAUUGAUAUGGAUAGAAAACUUCACAGAGAAAAGUGAGUGUUGUUUUUGUUGCGGCCAAUUUCUUAAUGGGGUAAUUAUGAUGAGACUAAAAAUUCAAAUUUACCUUUGUUGGGUAGAGAUGGGUUGUGACGCAUCACUGAAAGCUUCUGAUGUAAAUCACGUAUUUAUUUACGACAAAAACUAUAGCACACCAGUAAAUUACAAGAUUUAUCUUGACAAUUGUCGAAAAUACGUUUAAUAUAAAUAUGUGUGAGGUUAUAUGUGUAUAAUAAAAUAACUAAAAUACUGUUAUAAAAAAAUUAAAUUUUAAAAAUUAUAAAGAAAUAUUAAGAAUAAAUAAAUUUAUUCUUUUA
Molecule: long non-coding RNA, 555 nt
Organism: Leptopilina boulardi
Lineage: Eukaryota; Metazoa; Arthropoda; Insecta; Hymenoptera; Figitidae
Exons: 3
Source: RefSeq, a predicted model, not a curated record